AAUAUUGGUCAAUGGAGGCAACUCUGAACCAGCCACGUCGCGUGAAGGAUGACGGCCCUACGGGUUGUAAACUUCUUUUAUACAGGAAUAAAGUGAGUCCCGUGGGACUUUUUGCAUUUACUGUAUGAAUAAGGAGCGGCUAACUCCGUGCCAGCAGCCGCGGUAAUAGGGAGGAUCCAAUCGUUAUCCGGAUUUAGUGGGUUUAAAGGGUGCGCAAGCGGAAGAUUAAGUCGGCGGUGAAAUUUUGCAGCUCAACUGUAAAAGUGCCAUCGAUACUGGUUUUCUUGAGUGUGGAUGAAGUAGGCGGAAUUUGUGGUGUAGCGGUGAAAUGCAUAAAUAUCACGAGGAACUCCGAUUGCGCAGGCAGCUUACUAGGCCAUAACUGACGCUCAGGCACGAAGGCGUGGGGAUCAAAC
Molecule: ribosomal RNA, 416 nt
Filed under: uncultured bacterium
Lineage: Bacteria
Description: partial 16S ribosomal RNA
Rfam family: Bacterial small subunit ribosomal RNA
Source: RNAcentral